GACGAACGCUGGCGGCGUGCUUAACACAUGCAAGUCGAACGGAAAGGCCCUGCUUUUGUGGGGUGCUCGAGUGGCGAACGGGUGAGUAACACGUGAGUAACCUGCCCUUGACUUUGGGAUAACUUCAGGAAACUGGGGCUAAUACCGGAUAGGAGCUCCUGCUGCAUGGUGGGGGUUGGAACGUUUCGGCGGUUGGGGAUGGACUCGCGGCUUAUCAGCUUGUUGGUGGGGUAGUGGCUUACCAAGGCUUUGACGGGUAGCCGGCCGGAGAGGGUGACCGGCCACAUUGGGACUGAGAUACGGCCCAGACUGCAACGGGGGGCAGCAGUGGGGAAUAUUGCACAAUGGGCGGAAGCCUGAUGCAGCAACGCCGCGUGCGGGAUGACGGCCUUCGGGUUGUAAACCGCUUUCGCCUGUGACGAAGCGUGAGUGACGGUAAUGGGUAAAGAAGCACCGGCUAACUACGUG
Molecule: ribosomal RNA, 468 nt
Filed under: uncultured bacterium
Lineage: Bacteria
Description: partial 16S ribosomal RNA
Rfam family: Bacterial small subunit ribosomal RNA
Source: RNAcentral